This 68-nucleotide transfer RNA is filed under the name Typhlonectes natans (Rio Cauca caecilian). RNAcentral describes it as "tRNA-Trp". The record is from RNAcentral. Lineage: Eukaryota; Metazoa; Chordata; Amphibia; Gymnophiona; Typhlonectidae.
AGAAGUUGGGGAUAAACAAACCGAAAGCCUUCAAAGCUUUAAAUAGAAGUCUAACCAUCUAACUUCUG